This 97-nucleotide signal recognition particle RNA is filed under the name Deltaproteobacteria bacterium. RNAcentral's name for it is "signal recognition particle sRNA small type". It matches the Rfam family "Bacterial small signal recognition particle RNA". From Rfam's summary of the family: The signal recognition particle (SRP) is a universally conserved ribonucleoprotein involved in the co-translational targeting of proteins to membranes. Archaeal SRP consists of a 7S RNA and homologues of the eukaryotic SRP19 and SRP54 proteins. In most bacteria, the SRP consists of a 4.5S RNA and the Ffh protein (a homologue of the eukaryotic SRP54 protein). Lineage: Bacteria; Pseudomonadati; Myxococcota; Myxococcia. The record is from RNAcentral.
AGCUGGGUCCUGCGCACCGGAGGGUUACAAACCCCGUCAGGUCCGGGAGGAAGCAGCGGUAGUAACCUUAUCCGGCGUCGCAGUAAACCUAGCUAUC